UAAAAUGGGAUUGUCACUGUUCAAUGAACAGUGAUGGUGAACAGUGAUACAGCUCUUUUUUUCCUUUCAAACAGAUAAACAUGGGGUUUUAUACUGUUCUGCUAUGACGCUUUUGUCUCUUCUGCCGCUUCGAUCUUUUUUCUUUAAUUCGUUUUGGGUCUUGGUCGGUUUCGUCAGAGAAGAGAAAGAAGAAGAAGAAGAAGAAGGAGGAGGAGGAGGAGGAGACGGGAAGCUCUCUUUCCUUUCUCUUGCCUCUGAGUCCGCUCACUGCUCGGGUAUGAUUCGUUCUUGCAUGCGCUUAAUUGAUCUUGCCUAGGCAUUCUGCUGGUCGAGAAUGGUAUUCUGGUAUGGUUUAUGGUAUUCAAAUCAUCAAAAGGUAAUCCCGGUCUUAAAGUUUGGAUUUUUUUUUUUUUUUUUUAAGUUUUUGGCUUCUGGGUUUUAUGAGGUUUUGAAGUGAAAUGGCCCGAAUGGGUAGGAAAGUUUGGAACUUUUGGGGUGUUAAAUGCCUUUUGCUUUCUGGGUUUUUUAGGUUGUAAUUGGAAAAAGGGUGGUGUAGACUCUGCAUGCAGUCCCAGGCUCCCAGCGUUGCCUCACCUUCCCGGUCAUACUCCGGCGAGCCAUUAAAACGUACUCAGGAGUCAGAUCAAGAGGAGCCUCACAUGAAAAGGAAGGUGCUUGCUGAGGCCAAAUUGAGGAUGGGGAUUGACUGACAUUGAAGCUGUAUGAGUAACGUAGCCUAAAAUUUUUGUAUUCAUCGUAUUUCUCCCGGGUUAGUUUCGCGAUGGAGGACCCGAAAAGAUGAGCCGCCUAUUUUUCUGGGUCGCACCUCUUGCGCCACCAUAGGAAAGAGCGGAGGUAAUCAUGUUCGAGUGCAACGUUGUUAUAUAUAAGUUUGUGCAGGAACUUCACUUCUUUGUGACUGGAGGUGACGAUGAAAAUGAACUCAUUUUAGCAACUCUACUUCAGGGAUUCUUUGAUGCAGUUGCCCUUCUCUUGAGGAAAAAUGUCGACAAAAGGGAGGCAUUAGAGCACCUGGAUCUCAUACUCCUAUAGUUCAAUGCUUUGAUGUGAUCAUUGAUCAAGGAUCUGCUCAUUUUUUACCCUUUGCAACUGUUAAAGCAGAAGAGAUUUCGGUGUCACUGCCUGCUGAAAUACAUCACUUAGUUAAGUUUCUGUGAUUAAUCCUUAAACUUGCAGUAGUAAUUGGUCAUGGAGAGUUGCCUACAAUUAUAAGAUGAUUCAUCAAGCGCAAUUUCUUUUGCAGUAAUUGAUCAUUUUUUCUGUUGCAUGAUCUAUGGACCUUCAUUGGUGUUGAUGUCUACUGAAAUAUGUAAAUAUACUAUUGUGGUUAGAACAUUUUAUUUUGUGGAAAUAUUGCAGUUAAAAUGUCUAUUUAAACAAUAUCGGUUAAUAUUAUGUUUGAAA
Rosa rugosa (rugosa rose) is the source of this 1425-nucleotide long non-coding RNA. RefSeq lists it as uncharacterized. The record is from RefSeq and is a predicted model, not a curated record. The transcript has 5 exons. NCBI's taxonomy places the organism in Eukaryota, Viridiplantae, Streptophyta, Magnoliopsida, Rosales, Rosaceae.